GACGAACGCUGGCGGCGUGCUUAACACAUGCAAGUCGAACGGUGAUCUCGCAGCUUGCUGCGGGUGAUCAGUGGCGAACGGGUGAGUAACACGUGAGUAACCUGCCCUUGACUCUGGGAUAACUCCGGGAAACCGGUGCUAAUACUGGAUAUGACCUCGGCCCGCAUGGGUUGUGGUGGAAAGUUUUUCGGUCAAGGAUGGACUCGCGGCCUAUCAGCUUGUUGGUGGGGUAAUGGCCUACCAAGGCGACGACGGGUAGCCGGCCUGAGAGGGUGACCGGCCACACUGGGACUGAGACACGGCCCAGACUCCUACGGGAGGCAG
This 324-nucleotide ribosomal RNA is filed under the name uncultured Actinomycetes bacterium. RNAcentral's name for it is "bacterial SSU rRNA". It matches the Rfam family "Bacterial small subunit ribosomal RNA", at positions 28 to 351 of the family's 1533-position model. The record is from RNAcentral. Lineage: Bacteria; Bacillati; Actinomycetota; Actinomycetes.